GCUUUGCUUCUCUCCAAGCUCAGCUGAGCUGUGCUGAUGGCCUGCUGUAGUGUGGAGGUGGGAUCCCUUCCUGGCUGCUGGAGAGCUGGGAAGGAUGGUGCAGCAAAGGCCACCCUGAGCAUGUGACAAGGAGAGGUGAUGUCACCACGGCGCUCUGUGACCCCCCACGCUGCUCUCCCUUCUCCAAGACCUUCACUCCACCUGUGCCCGCCACGAGCUCAGUGAUGAAAGUCGGUGGAAAGCAGGUGGGGGUGCUGGGAAGGAAACUCCGGCACGGACAGCAGAGCAAACCUCUCCUUCCCUGCCCUGCCUCGCUUCAUUUGCAACACAGCUGCAAAUCCUGAAUGUCCCUGCCUACAG
This is a long non-coding RNA of Hirundo rustica (Barn swallow), 360 nucleotides long. RefSeq lists it as uncharacterized. The record is from RefSeq and is a predicted model, not a curated record. The transcript has 3 exons. NCBI's taxonomy places the organism in Eukaryota, Metazoa, Chordata, Aves, Passeriformes, Hirundinidae.